Molecule: long non-coding RNA, 1971 nt
Filed under: Gopherus agassizii (Agassiz's desert tortoise)
Lineage: Eukaryota; Metazoa; Chordata; Testudines; Testudinidae
Description: lncRNA (ENSGAGG00000020392.1)
Source: RNAcentral
GGGAUUUUCCUGGUAUAAUUUCUAAUCCUGUUUAGGCCUUGUUGAUAAUAGACUGACAAUCCUUAGUACAAAGGGAAAGUGAAGUCUAGUGGUUACAGCAGAAAGUAGUCAUGAUAGGGUUAGCUAGGUUACCCAGAGUAUUACGGGAUGAAGAUAUGCUCCACCCUGUUUAAUCAGUGGGAAAUUCCCCCACCACACACACUGUUGUGACGCAGUCAGAUAAAGCAGCAUGUUCCUAGGUGAUUUGUUAUUUUUGUUGCACUGAAGCUGUCUCUUUUCAAAAGCCAGGAUUUCGGAUUCCUGCUUUCCAACUUCAGCUCUGCCUUUUAAAUUGCCUUGGGGCAAAUUCCUUUGGCCCAGAUUGUCACUAGUAGCCUCGGUUGUUGGGUGCCCAGCUUUAAACACCUGUGGAUUGCUUCUCAGAGAUGCUGGACACACACAUCCCUCUAUGUCUUUUAAUUAGCUUUGAUUAGCAGGCCCAAGGAGUCCUAUACCGGGCACUCACCAUAGGAAGCUCCUAACAUUUGAGAUUUUAAAAAAUAUUUCCUUUCCUUUCCCUGUGUCCCAUGUUUUUCAUCUUCAACAAGUGAUAUUAACACUUCAACCUCCCCCACCAUGGUGUUUGUAAGGCUGAAAUAUUUACUGCUAGCCAUUUCUAAGGGGCAGCAUGUAGCUGUGAUCACCCAGCCGCUGACCGGGGAAUGAAUUGUGACUCAAAAAAGCCCCAUUUUGGUCUGUGAUUCCUUCUUUGCUCAGGGUGAACAGUGAGCUGCACCCAUGUACUGCACUCCUCUGUACCAGCUCAGCUGUGCUGACCAGGAUGUGGGAAAAUGGGAGACCACUGCCCAUCCAUCAGCAUGGGGGAGGCUGGCAAAAGCUAGUCUUUGUUCCACAGCAAUUCCCCGUCCCUCCCCUGGAUGCAGAAGGACUCCAUUAGCUCCCCAAAAGAAGAUGUGUGAUCAGAAGAGGCAGCUGGUUAGAACCCCUAAUGGCUGCUGGACUACCACGCUUCAUAUUCUUAGUUUAAAAAGUUCCUACUUAAAAAGCGACACAAGAGACAGAACUUGGAGGCUUCACAAGUGAACAGCCAAGAGAAUGAAAAGGCCUUCUAUACUCUUUUUGUUUGUUUCAACAUGACUACAUUAAGCACCUCUGCAUUAUUUUAAAAUCUUCUUGACUAGGAGUAGCAAAGAAUCCUGUGGCACCUUAUAGACUAACAGAUGUUUUGGAGCAUGAGCUUUCGUGGGUGAAUACCCACUUCGUCAGCGGGUAUUCACCCAUGAAAGCUCAUGCUCCAAAACGUGUUAGUCUAUAAGGUGCCACAGGAUUCUUUGCUGCUUUUACAGAUCCAGACUAACACGGCUACCCCUCUGAUACUUGACUAGGAGUGGGAUUUUUCAGAAUUGCCUUCGGGAGUUAGGUGCCAAUGGGAGCUGAGUGUCUAACUAGGCUUACUUUAAAAUCUUAGCCUUCAACUGCUGUAAAUUUUCUGACGUUUGAUUUUUGUUGCAAUUUUGGAGUUAAAUGAAAAAAAAUCUGGAAAAAAAGUCAACUAAAGUUUGGUAUGUUUUUUGACCAGUUCUAUUAUCGAUAAAUGUUUCUCUAUGCAACCCAAAGAAAGAGUAGCCAUAACUGCUGUUGUAAAUGCCCUUGUUUCGUCCUAUCUGCAGUUUUAAUUUUGAGGACAUAGUGGGCUACUGAUUUUGCUCCUGUACAUUUUCCCUCACAGAUACCUGCAGGUGCACUUUGUACAACUUAGACGUCUAUGCAUUAUUGCCAACCUCAGGCCUCCAAAAUUGAGAGAUUAUCUUAAGUCACGAGAUUUUUUUUAAAAUAUACAUUUUGGAUUUGCUUUAUUUGCCUUACAGUUUUAGAAUAUUUAGGUUACAGUUGGGUCACAUGUUCAACCUUUACUCUGCAACCAUAAGGGCUAGGAACUUUUUUUAAAAAAUAAAAGCUGAGAUUGUCACA